RNAcentral lists this long non-coding RNA (1589 nucleotides) under Mus musculus (house mouse). RNAcentral describes it as "predicted gene 44889". Lineage: Eukaryota; Metazoa; Chordata; Mammalia; Rodentia; Muridae. The record is from RNAcentral.
CUCUAGAGACCAAAGACAUCUUCAGGAUCAAUGAACCUUAUAGCUGCUGAGGAAAGGCUCCCCAGUUGAGCUUACUGGGGUCACAGAGUAUGAAGGUUACAGAUAGAUCCUGCAUCCAAGGCACUAAUUAGCUCUCUAAUGAACUUGACCUGGACAAUGAGGUCCUGUCCUGACUCCUCGAAGGCUGACCAAGCCGGCCAGGAUUGCUGUUCUAAAUACACAGCUGGGCAGGGGAAUGCGCUCAGAGGGAUUCUGCUGCCUUGUACGUUUUUAAAAUAGUUUCAGAAUUAGGGAGAGAAGUCCUUUUUCCACUUCUAUCCAAGAAUCCUCAUUUUCAAGGGGUUCCACGCCAUUCUUGCCUAACACAGGCAGUGAUACAUACUACGUAACGGAUAUAUACGUAAUGGAUAUAAAUGCCCUGUCAAUGGUCGUUAUACUGUGUGUCGUUCAGGGAACAAUAUCAAGAAAUGAAAUUCAGUAUAUGUUGAGUCCGUGGGGGGCAGCACUCCCCCUACUCCGAAUGGUUUCGGUCUGUGGCUGGCUGAAACUUUGGAUUCAGAACCUGUGGAUCUGGAGGGUCAAUGGGGAUAAGGACAUGGGCCACUUUCAAAUGAGUAAGUAGUAAGGACGUCUGAGAUGCUUCGUGCUUUGCUAAAUGCAACUCCAAACUGUGCUCCGCAAUGCCCCCUUGCACUCUGAGAUGUUAGAACUUGGGGGACAGGGUGAUCCUAUUGUUCUUGGGGUCACAACUGGCUUGCGCAGAGCACACCAGCAGUCUCCUUGGUUUAUGGUAUUCUGUGAUUGGGAGAGCUGACAUUGGUUGUUAAUUUAUUGGAUUGGGCUCAACUGAGAGACACCAGUCUAGUUAGGGCUGUGAGUUAUUUCCUGGAAAUAAUGACUGGCAGGGAAGCCCUUCUUCCCCAGAGUGGGCAGAGCCUUCUGUCAGUGACCCAGACAAAAGAGGUCCAAGGGAGAAACAAGGCCACCCUUCCCCAUCUCCUUUGCUCUCUGGUGGUGAGUGCAUCACCUUCACUGACUGCUUCUUUGGCCUUCCAAUGGGGAUUGGAGCUUUCCUGGAAUCUUCCAGGAAGCUUCCACUCUCUGUUCUUGAUUGCAGGCACACCAUGACCGGUCUCCCCAGCCUUCUCUGUCAUUACUUCCUUUCCUUAUGAUGGACUGUAUCCUGAGCCACAAUAAACCCUUCCUUUCUAAGUGGCUUUUGUUAAAUAUUUGUCACAACAAUAGUGAUCACUAGUGCCACCUAAUAUUGAUUCCUGUCUUCCUAUUCUAACGCAUGGGUGCAGUGCACUCCUUGGUCCUCUUGUCAUUUUUUGGUGUCAACUGAUUAACUCAGGCCAAUGACCAUGCAUGGACCAUGUCAUCUGUGCGUGGCACACAUUCCAUUGUCAGUAUGAAACCCUCUAGAGCCUGACCAUGAUGCUGGCUGUUCAGCACCACCUAAGAUAACAUGGUUAGAACCCAGAACCCUGAGGGGAGACUCCUAGAUGGUGUGUGAAGGAUGUGUAUUGAGGACAAAGGGUCUCACUAAGUUGCCUUAUCAAGGGAGGCCUCAAACUUCUGGUCCCCCU